RNAcentral lists this ribosomal RNA (1647 nucleotides) under Triticum aestivum (bread wheat). RNAcentral's name for it is "partial small subunit ribosomal RNA". The record is from RNAcentral. Lineage: Eukaryota; Viridiplantae; Streptophyta; Magnoliopsida; Poales; Poaceae.
AUGGAAUUCGGGGAGAUAGAGAGGGCAUCCGGCAAGGAGAAGGGGAAGGGAUCCGGCAAGGAGAAGGUGAGGGAGAUGAUUCUGGUCGGGGAACUCCGGAAGAUAGAGAGAGUAUACGAGAAGGAGAUGAAGUUGAAGAUGGAAUCCGGAAAGGAGAUGGAUUGGGUUCGGAAAUUUCGGAAGCUGGAUGGGGACUUCGGGGAAGAGAUAGUGAAUUCGGGAGAUAUGAAUUUGGUUCGGAGAUUUCGGACGAUGGAGAGGAAAUAUAGGGAGGAGAUGGAGAUCCGGUCGAAGAAGGAUAUGGGGCGGACCACGUACGUUGUCCGCAAUAAGAGGGAGGACACGUUCCGCAGCAGUACCAAAACUGAGAUCAAAAGGAGGGAGGCCACGUUCCAUAGCAUAGAUAAUGAAAGCCUUGCCGACGCUCUUUGUCGCCAUAUUAUUAUCCAGAGGAGGGAGAUCACCGCCCUGGAGAGACAGGUCGAAUCACGAGGGUUGGAGACGAUCGCCGGAAAGAAGGCUUAUCUAGAGAGGCAAAGGAAAAAAGGAGGGAUUUACGCUCCACAGCAGUUGCCACCCGAGAUGAUAGAGAUGUCCAAGUUGUCUGUCCAGAACAUUGACUCAGAUGCAAUCAACUUGCUCGGGAAAGAGAUUGUAGAUGAUCCAAUUGUUGCUAAGCGAGUGAAUUUGGAUGAUCUUAGUUCUUACCAUGCCGCCUGGAAAUCUAUAUGGGGCAGUCAGAUAGCAGGAUGUGGUUCGUUUGAUGACAUAACCACGUUGAGCCCUAUGCAAUUUACGCACUCCACGCCUGGUAUCUUUCCACACGCUGCUGUUGCCGGUCCAGCCCUGCAGAUCUUCUCCAUCAAAAUUGUGAAUGUGCAUGCCAACUUGCGCUGGCCGCUCCGUGUGUACGGGGUGGUUGCUGCACGAGACAUCGUGGACCGCAACCGCAACCUUCUCUUCUCCCGGUCAAGGGCAAACUGCCAAGAAGUCACCGAAGCGGAUCCUUUUUUGCUCUUGACUGGCCCUUCUCGUGCAAUUGUGGCUGCGGACACGGUUAAAUUUGAAGUUGAGCUUAGAAUUAUGUAUGCUGGAGCAGAUACCAAAGAUACAGUAUUGUUCUCUUCUACCUAUAAUUACUAUUCCAUGCAGCAGUAUGCCAACCCCAGGAUCAGCAGCUGCUGUGGUAUGUUAGAGUUAAGUGUUGGGCGCCUUACUAGAGCGGUCCAGGCCACUAUCGUGGGUGUCCGUGUUGUUGAAGGGGAGUGGCCUUUUCAAUAUGGAUGCCGGGUUUCUUGCUACUUAUCUCCUGAUGAAGAUCUUGUUCCGACUACACCUACGGAAGUCGUGUUAGUUAACUGUAAGGUUGAGGAAAUGGAGAAACAGUCUGAUGGUUACGUAAAUCUGUCAAGAAAUGUUGUUUCAGUGCAACUAGAGCAAACGCUGAAAGUGGUCAUUCAAGCCUACUCAGAAUCUGGCCUUGAAUAUCUACAUAAUGUUGAGGUUGACUUCCCUGUGAAGCAAUGCCAAACAACCAAGUGUUUAUGUACAGUUGGUAACUCGACGGUUCAGAUCGUUGUUGCUUGGUCCCUUCUUGCCAUGGAUAAGCUGGAUCUUGUGCUGGAGGGGUAUGUUACCCCAGUGUAG